RNAcentral lists this small RNA (2686 nucleotides) under Pongo abelii (Sumatran orangutan). Its description in RNAcentral is "processed transcript". The record is from RNAcentral. Lineage: Eukaryota; Metazoa; Chordata; Mammalia; Primates; Hominidae.
GCUGCUGAAACAGGUUUCCCCGGUUUGACAGAGCGGUAGCUGGGGCCUGGCCUGGAGGGUUUCUCUGACCCACAACCCUACCUGACUUCUUUCAAAAGAAAUCCCCCAACCUGGGGCCUUCAGGUGGGCGUGUGAAGGCCAAUGACUCAGACCAAGGUGCCAAUGCAGAGAUUGAAUACACAUUCCACCAGGCUCCCGAAGUUGUAAGGCGUCUUCUUCGACUGGACAGGAACACUGGACUUAUCACUGUUCAGGGCCCGGUGGACCGUGAGGACCUAAGCACCCUGCGCUUCUCAGUGCUUGCUAAGGACCGAGGCACCAACCCCAAGAGUGCCCGUGCCCAGGUGGUUGUGACCGUGAAGGACAUGAAUGACAAUGCCCCCACCAUUGAGAUCCGGGGCAUAGGGCUAGUGACUCAUCAAGAUGGGAUGGCUAACAUCUCAGAGGAUGUGGCAGAGGAGACAGCUGUGGCCCUGGUGCAGGUGUCUGACCGAGACGAGGGAGAGAAUGCAGCUGUCACCUGUGUGGUGGCAGGUGAUGUGCCCUUCCAGCUGCGCCAGGCCAGUGAGACAGGCAGUGACAGCAAGAAGAAGUAUUUCCUGCAGACUACCACCCCGCUGGACUACGAGAAGGUCAAAGACUACACCAUUGAGAUUGUGGCUGUGGACUCUGGCAACCCCCCACUCUCCAGCACCAACUCCCUCAAGGUGCAGGUGGUGGACGUCAAUGACAAUGCACCUGUCUUCACUCAGAGUGUCACUGAGGUCGCCUUCCCGGAAAACAACAAGCCUGGUGAAGUGAUUGCUGAGAUCACUGCCAGUGAUGCUGACUCUGGCUCUAAUGCUGAGCUGGUUUACUCUCUGGAGCCUGAACCGGCUGCUAAGGGCCUCUUCACCAUCUCACCCGAGACUGGAGAGAUCCAGGUGAAGACAUCCCUGGAUCGGGAACAGCGGGAGAGCUAUGAGUUGAAGGUGGUGGCAGCUGACCGGGGCAGCCCUAGCCUCCAGGGCACAGCCACUGUCCUUGUCAAUGUGCUGGACUGCAAUGACAAUGACCCCAAAUUUAUGCUGAGUGGCUACAACUUCUCAGUGAUGGAGAACAUGCCAGCGCUGAGUCCAGUGGGCAUGGUGACUGUCAUUGAUGGAGACAAGGGGGAGAAUGCCCAGGUGCAGCUCUCAGUGGAGCAGGACAAUGGUGACUUUGUUAUCCAGAAUGGCACAGGCACCAUCCUAUCCAGCCUGAGCUUUGAUCGAGAGCAACAAAGCACCUACACCUUCCAGCUGAAGGCGGUGGAUGGUGGCGUCCCACCUCGCUCAGCUUAUGUUGGUGUCACCAUCAAUGUGCUGGACGAGAAUGACAAUGCACCCUAUAUCACUGCCCCUUCUAACACCUCUCACCGGCUGCUGACCCCCCAGACACGUCUUGGUGAGACGGUCAGCCAGGUGGCAGCCGAGGACUUUGACUCUGGUGUCAAUGCUGAGCUGAUCUACAGCAUUGCAGGUGGCAACCCUUAUGGACUCUUCCAGAUUGGGUCACAUUCAGGUGCCAUCACCCUGGAGAAGGAGAUUGAGCGGCGCCACCAUGGGCUACACCGCCUGGUGGUGAAGGUCAGUGACCGCGGCAAGCCCCCACGCUAUGGCACAGCCUUGGUCCAUCUUUAUGUCAAUGAGACUCUGGCCAACCGCACGCUGCUGGAGACCCUCCUGGGCCACAGCCUGGACACGCCGCUGGAUAUUGACAUUGCUGGGGAUCCAGAAUAUGAGCGCUCUAAGCAGCGUGGCAACAUUCUCUUUGGUGUGGUGGCUGGUGUGGUGGCCGUGGCCUUGCUCAUCGCCCUGGCGGUUCUUGUGCGCUACUGCCGACAGCGGGAGGCCAAAAGUGGUUACCAGGCUGGUAAGAAGGAGACCAAGGACCUGUAUGCCCCCAAGCCCAGUGGCAAGGCCUCCAAGGGAAACAAAAGCAAGGGCAAGAAGAGCAAGUCCCCAAAGCCCGUGAAGCCAGUGGAGGACGAGGAUGAGGCCGGGCUGCAGAAGUCCCUCAAGUUCAACCUGAUGAGCGAUGCCCCUGGGGACAGUCCCCGCAUCCACCUGCCCCUCAACUACCCACCAGGCAGCCCUGACCUGGGCCGCCACUAUCGCUCUAACUCCCCACUGCCUUCCAUCCAGCUGCAGCCCCAGUCACCCUCGGCCUCCAAGAAGCACCAGGUGGUACAGGACCUGCCACCUGCAAACACAUUCGUGGGCACCGGGGACACCACGUCCACGGGCUCUGAGCAGUACUCCGACUACAGCUACCGCACCAACCCCCCCAAAUACCCCAGCAAGCAGGUAGGCCAGCCCUUUCAGCUCAGCACACCCCAGCCCCUACCCCACCCCUACCAUGGAGCCAUCUGGACUGAGGUGUGGGAGUGAUGGAGCAGGUUUACUGUGCCUGCUUGUGUGGGGGCCAGCCUGAGCCAGCGGUGGGAGGUGGGGCCUUAGUAAUAACACCGCUGCCUCACCCAGGCACAGGGAUUAGGCUGAGUGAAGAUUCAGGGAGGGUGUGCUCUGUGGUCUCCUCCCUGCCCUCUCCCCACUGGGGAGAAACCUGUGAUUUGCCAAGUCCCUGGACCCUGGACCAGCUACUGGGCCUUGUGGGUUGGGGGUGAUGGGCAGGUGAGCAUAAGUCGGGAGGGAAAUGGGGAAGA